Molecule: unclassified non-coding RNA, 842 nt
Filed under: Hevea brasiliensis (rubber tree)
Lineage: Eukaryota; Viridiplantae; Streptophyta; Magnoliopsida; Malpighiales; Euphorbiaceae
Source: RNAcentral
GCAGAAUUGUUGAGAUAUAUGGGCCCGAAAGUAGUGGAAAGACUACCUUAGCUCUCCAUGCUAUUGCAGAAGUACAGAAGCUAGGAGGCAAUGCAAUGCUUGUUGAUGCUGAGCAUGCUUUUGAUCCUGCAUACUCCAAAGCACUUGGAGUAGAUGUAGAGAAUUUGAUCGUCUGCCAGCCUGAUAAUGGAGAGAUGGCUCUAGAAAUCGCAGACCGGAUGUGUAGAUCAGGUGCCGUAGAUCUCAUUUGCAUUGAUUCAGUCUCAGCCCUUACUCCACGUGCUGAAAUUGAGGGAGAAAUCGGGAUGCAGCAAAUGGGUUUACAAGCACGCCUGAUGAGUCAAGCUUUACGUAAAAUGUCAGGCAAUGCCUCCAAAGCUGGAUGUACUCUUAUAUUCCUCAAUCAGAUAAGAUACAAGAUUGGUGUUUAUUACGGAAAUCCUGAGGUCACAAGUGGAGGGAUUGCCUUAAAGUUUUUCGCCUCCGUUCGACUUGAAAUCCGUUCCACAGGGAAGAUAAAAUCUGCAAAAGGAGACGAGGAAGUGGGUAUUAAGGUCCGAGUGAGAGUUCAAAAGAGUAAGGUUUCUAGACCAUACAAGCAAGCAGAAUUUGAAAUUAUGUUUGGAGAAGGAGUGAGCAAGCUGGGUUGUGUAUUAGAUUGUGCGGAACUGAUUGAGGUGGUGGCUAAGAAAGGUUCAUGGUAUAACUACGGAGAGCAUAGGCUGGGACAGGGAAGAGAGAAAGCAUUGCAAUAUUUGAGAGAAAAUCCUCUUCUCCCUCCCGUUUGUCUCUAGCACCGAUGACCGAACCAUCUUUUCUAUUUCUUCAGAGAGAAGAGGAUU